GCUGGAAUGCUCGACGGA
RNAcentral lists this small nuclear RNA (18 nucleotides) under Arabidopsis thaliana (thale cress). Its description in RNAcentral is "snRNA_01899". The record is from RNAcentral. Lineage: Eukaryota; Viridiplantae; Streptophyta; Magnoliopsida; Brassicales; Brassicaceae.